CAGCAGCCGCGGUAAUACGUAGGUGGCAAGCGUUGUCCGGAAUUAUUGGGCGUAAAGCGCGCGCAGGCGGUUUCUUAAGUCUCCUGUGAAAGCCCCCGGCUCAACCGGGGAGGGUCAUUGGAAACUGGGGAACUUGAGUGCAGAAGAGGAGAGUGGAAUUCCACGUGUAGCGGUGAAAUGCGUAGAGAUGUGGAGGAACACCAGUGGCGAAGGCGACUCUCUGGUCUGUAACUGACGCUGAGGCGCGAAAGCGUGGGGAGCGAACAGGAUUAGAUACCCUGGUAGUCCACGCCCGUAAACGAUGAGUGGUAAGUGUUAGAGGGUUUCCGCCCUUUAGUGCUGCAGCAAACGCAUUAAGCACUCCGCCUGGGGAGUACGGUCGCAAGACUGAAACUCUAAAGGAAUUGAGGGG
RNAcentral lists this ribosomal RNA (412 nucleotides) under Bacillus licheniformis. RNAcentral's name for it is "bacterial SSU rRNA". It matches the Rfam family "Bacterial small subunit ribosomal RNA", at positions 509 to 917 of the family's 1533-position model. The record is from RNAcentral. Lineage: Bacteria; Bacillati; Bacillota; Bacilli; Caryophanales; Bacillaceae.